Hippocampus zosterae (dwarf seahorse) is the source of this 1445-nucleotide long non-coding RNA. RefSeq lists it as uncharacterized. NCBI's taxonomy places the organism in Eukaryota, Metazoa, Chordata, Actinopteri, Syngnathiformes, Syngnathidae. The transcript has 3 exons. The record is from RefSeq and is a predicted model, not a curated record.
GCAGAUCUCCUGUAGCCCUCGAAUCUCGCAGGAGUUAUUCUCAAAGCACUCAAACACGCCACAGCCGACGUCGCCUGCGCUCACCAAGCAGUGCUGGAUCUCAGCUGGAAUAAAAAGAACAGGUUGCAGGCGGUAGCAGCUGCGACAAAAAUGCAAGCAAGACACAAGUGGGAGUGAGAUGCAGACUUCAUUUCUUCUGGGGGAGCCCACUGUGCAUUCAUGUGUAUUGUGUGAGUAGCAACACGUGUGCAACAAACCAAGACGAUGAACAAAUGUAAACGGGAGCAAACUUGAUGAAAAUUGACUACUGGUCAUCCAUUUUCUGUUUCGUUCCAGUCACAAAUGGCAAGGACAAACCGCGAGAAUACUGUUGAAUGUGAAACUGCUGAAAGUCUUUCACUUAAGGUUUUGGGUUCUGCAUCACACCUGUUGGACCAGAGUCAAGCCUCAUUCAGGGCAAGUUAGUUUGAAGCUUUGCUUUGUGUGCAAAACAGCCAUGCAGAUUCCAGGUUUGUAGGCCUUAGAAGAACUUAAGUGCGCAGGAAAAGUGAGCCGUUGACGGCGGUGCUUGUUUUGGCAUCAGGGGAAUGUGCUUGGAUCGUACGAGCUUGGCUGCAGUGUGCAUUGAGUUACACGCUGCUGUUGCAAGAGUGGGGGGUGGGCUUCCACUCUCAAAUCUGCUGUGGAGUUUGUUGUUCUUAAUCAAGGAAAUUAGCCUCUAAUAAUAACAGCAAGCUAAUAAACCAGGCCUAAUAAAAUAACUGCCAGUGAGAUUGAAUGACUGGGGUCACAGUCACUAGUCAUAAAAUGUACGGGUGCAAGAUCAUAAGGAAAGCAUAGCGUUUUUAAGAAGUCGUACCAUCUUUGAAUCACAAAAAGUAUCAUCAUGCAUGAUCAAUUACCUCAGGUAGUGAUUUCUAACCAAUAUGCCAUGAGAAAUCAUCAAGUGUGCCACGGUAAACAAGCAAAUUAUUGCACAGAAAAUUACUGACCACAAAUAAUGCUUCAUUUAUCCAUCUUUGCUAGCAACAGGCAGAAAGAUGAAAUGAUUUUACACUAGACGUUAAAAGGUACAUAAUUAGCCUGUGUAUCCACGGUUGUCAACCUUUUUAUGUAUUGGUGUGCACUACGGAUGCUUUUUUUAAUGUAUCAUACGUGAUUUGACUCAAUAAAGGCUGGGAAACAUUUGACUUAGACCAAGCCAUUAAUAGUUUACCAACAUAUUAAAGUCCCUUUUACAAUUAUUUAGACAUCACGAUAUUGUAUGUCGAAUGCCUAGAAUACCGAUUCCAGUUUAAAGCAGUCCACAAAUGCUCAAAUGGCUGGACUCGACACCGACACUCCGCCUUAGACUCUCGGAAGCACGCGCACGAGGACACACGAACACGUACGCACGUGUCGAACAGAGACCACGUAGAGAGCCACUUAUACGGCAUUGCUAACCU